RNAcentral lists this transfer RNA (77 nucleotides) under Candidatus Rokuibacteriota bacterium. RNAcentral describes it as "Candidatus Rokubacteria bacterium (sediment metagenome) tRNA-Arg". It matches the Rfam family "tRNA". From Rfam's summary of the family: Transfer RNA (tRNA) molecules are approximately 80 nucleotides in length. Their secondary structure includes four short double-helical elements and three loops (D, anti-codon, and T loops). Further hydrogen bonds mediate the characteristic L-shaped molecular structure. tRNAs have two regions of fundamental functional importance: the anti-codon, which is responsible for specific mRNA codon recognition, and the 3' end, to which the tRNAs corresponding amino acid is attached (by aminoacyl-tRNA synthetases). tRNAs cope with the degeneracy of the genetic code in two manners: having more than one tRNA (with a specific anti-codon) for a particular amino acid; and 'wobble' base-pairing, i.e. permitting non-standard base-pairing at the 3rd anti-codon position. Lineage: Bacteria; Candidatus Rokuibacteriota. The record is from RNAcentral.
GCCCCCGUAGCUCAGGUGGACAGAGCGGCAGCGUCCUAAGCUGCGCGUCCCAGGUUCGAGUCCUGGCGGGGGCGCCA